This 75-nucleotide transfer RNA is filed under the name Salibacterium salarium. Its description in RNAcentral is "tRNA-Gln". It matches the Rfam family "tRNA". Rfam says of the family: Transfer RNA (tRNA) molecules are approximately 80 nucleotides in length. Lineage: Bacteria; Bacillati; Bacillota; Bacilli; Caryophanales; Bacillaceae. The record is from RNAcentral.
UGGGAUGUAGCCAAGCGGUAAGGCAUCGGAUUUUGAUUCCGUGAUGCGCAGGUUCGAACCCUGCCAUCCCAACCA